RNAcentral lists this long non-coding RNA (318 nucleotides) under Scophthalmus maximus (turbot). RNAcentral's name for it is "lncRNA (ENSSMAG00000037549.1)". Lineage: Eukaryota; Metazoa; Chordata; Actinopteri; Pleuronectiformes; Scophthalmidae. The record is from RNAcentral.
AUGAUCGCAAAGUGUCAGCUUCAGCACCCGAGGAGAGGACAGCUCCGCUGUGUCUGCUCCUCCGGACCUCCGGACCUCCGGACCGCGACGACAGCCACCCUGCUGCAGGCAGCCGGUGAGGCCGGCACCUCCAGCCCGACACUCCGCCCCUGCAAGUCUGGAAGAAGUCUGAACACCCGCCGACGGAGAGAUCCGCGACUGACGGUGUGCUCAAUAUGUACCAGGGGCAUUUACAGGAUGGGUGUGGUUCUUCAAACAAAAAGCCAUUACUGACAGCCUAGCACGCUCGCACAGCAGGACCUUGAUCCAGUGAUGGAC